This 923-nucleotide long non-coding RNA is filed under the name Pogona vitticeps (central bearded dragon). Its description in RNAcentral is "lncRNA (ENSPVIG00000006600.1)". Lineage: Eukaryota; Metazoa; Chordata; Lepidosauria; Squamata; Agamidae. The record is from RNAcentral.
UAUUAUAUUAUAGGUCUGCCAAAUUCACACUUAUCUAUCAAAUUGGUGUAAGUACUGUAGCAAUUUCUCUUGGAAUACAUUUCAUUUAAGGCUACAUGGAAGUGUAGAGAGAAAAUCCAGUUUAUGGAGAUAUGGCUAUGUUGCUGAAGAAUGGAUUUGCCAUUAAUGUAUUUCUAUUAAAGCUCAGAUGACUCAUGCAUGGAAUCAGAAUUUAUUUCUCUAAUGAUUUAAUGUCCUCUGACAGUUAAAAAGCAAAGCAAACCUUGCAGGAUUUCAAUAUAAGAUGAAGAAGCACGAACUACAGCUGAGCUAUAAAGUUCCAUGCCAAUGAAAUCCAAGGAACUUCCUGGAUAGGAGGCUGAAAAUGAUACCAAGGAAGGCUAUGCAGAAGACCAUCAUAGCAGCAUAGUGUUACGAUCGGAGGGUGACUCUUCUGGAUUUUCCAUCAGUCAUAGCUCUGUGUAAGUAAGUGGAAUACAUUCUAUAUUUUCAGCCAUAUUCCUCCAAAAAAGAGGUUUAAAACAACAUAUCCAGAACAGAGAUAAAGCCAGCAUCAGGAUUAUGUCUGUUGGAGUGUAAUCUUCCCUUCUGAAUUCUAUACACAGCACAUGUGUCAGAACAUUCCACAUAGAUUAGAUUUAGUUUUAAAAAGAGAGUGAGUUGCCAGUCUUCAUCACUGCAAUUUUCUCAAAGGUAGGGAACAGUAAACAAAGGCAACGCUAUGACAAGGACAGGCUGACACACAGUAGCACAGACGCAACGCUGACUGUGGAAAAUGUACAGUUGACCUGGUUCAGCAAGAGUGAGACGAGGGAGGGCAGGCUGUCUUCUCUACAGAUCACCCAGUGACCACCACUCAUCCUCAUCUCACUUUCAGGUAAGCCUAAAGACUAUAUGAGUGGUCUAGUUAGCAGAGGAGGAAA